RNAcentral lists this ribosomal RNA (871 nucleotides) under Phialemonium thermophilum. RNAcentral's name for it is "eukaryotic LSU rRNA". It matches the Rfam family "Eukaryotic large subunit ribosomal RNA", at positions 46 to 934 of the family's 3401-position model. Lineage: Eukaryota; Fungi; Ascomycota; Sordariomycetes; Cephalothecales; Cephalothecaceae. The record is from RNAcentral.
AUAAGCGGAGGAAAAGAAACCAACAGGGAUUGCCCUAGUAACGGCGAGUGAAGCGGCAACAGCUCGAAUUUGAAAUCUGGCUCCCUUUGGGGGUCCGAGUUGUAAUCUGCAGAGGAUGCUUCGGGCGAGGUUCCCACCGAGUUCCCUGGAACGGGACGCCACAGAGGGUGAGAGCCCCGUAUGGUGGGAGGCCAAGCCUGUGUGAAGCUCCUUCGACGAGUCGAGUAGCUUGGGAAUGCUGCUCUAAAUGGGAGGUAGACUUCUUCUAAAGCUAAAUACCGGCCAGAGACCGAUAGCGCACAAGUAGAGUGAUCGAAAGAUGAAAAGCACUUUGAAAAGAGGGUCAAACAGUACGUGAAAUUGUUGAAAGGGAAGCGCCUAUGGCCAGACUUGCGCCGGGCCGAUCAUUCAGCGGUCUCCGCUGGUGCACUCGGCCCGUUGCAGGCCAGCGUCGGCUGUCCUGGGGGGAUAAAAGCAGUGGGAACGUAGCUCCCUCCGGGGAGUGUUAUAGCCCGCUGCACAAUACCUCCGGGGCGGCCGAGGUCCGCGCCCUCGUGGCAAGGACGCUGGCGUAAUGGCCAUCAGCGACCCGUCUUGAAACACGGACCAAGGAGUCGAGGUUUUACGCGAGUGUUCGGGUGUCAAGCCCCAGCGCGUAAUGAAAGUGAACGUAGGUGGGAGCCUUCGGGCGCACCAUCGACCGAUCCUGAUGUCUUCGGAUGGAUUUGAGUAAGAGCGUAAAGCCUCGGACCCGAAAGAUGGUGAACUAUGCCUGUAUAGGGUGAAGCCAGAGGAAACUCUGGUGGAGGCUCGCAGCGGUUCUGACGUGCAAAUCGAUCGUCAAAAUAUGGGCAUGGGGGCGAAAGACUAA